CUCCUCCUACUACUAACACUACUACUAACACUACUCCUAAUACUACCAUUACUACUACUAAUACUCCUCCUACUCCUAUUACUACUAACACUACUCCUAAUACUCCUCCUACUACUACUCAUUAUUAUUUAUUACUAUUACUAACACUACUCCUAUUAAUACUCCUCCUCCUACUAAUACUUCUAAUACUCCUCCUACUACUAACACUACUCCUAAUACUCCCAUUAAUACUCCUCCUACUACUAAUACUUCUCCUAAUACUCCUACUACUAACACUACUCCUAAUACUCCUCCUACUACUAACACUACUACUAACACUACUCCUAAUACUCCUCCUACUACUAACACUACUCCUAAUACUCCUCCUACUACUACUAACACUACUACUAAUACUACUCCUAAUACUCCUCCUACUACUAACACUACUACUAACACUACUCCUAAUACUCCUCCUACUACUAACACUACUACUAACACUACUCCUAAUACUCCUCCUACUACUAACACUACUACUAACACUACUCCUAAUACUCCUCCUACUACUAACACUACUCCUAAUACUCCUCCUACUCCUAAUACUACCAUUACUACUACUAAUACUCCUCCUACUCCUAUUACUACUAACACUACUCCUAAUACUCCUCCUACUACUACUCAUUAUUUAUUACUACUACUAUUACUAACACUACUCCUAUUAAUACUCCUCCUCCUACUAAUACUUCUAAUACUCCUCCUACUACUAACACUACUCCUAAUACUCCUACUAAUACUUCUCCUAAUACUCCUCCUACUACUACUCAUUAUUAUUUUUAUUACUACUACUAUUACUAACACUACUCCUAUUAAUGCUCCUCCUACUACUAUUCAUUGAUACUCCUCCUACUACUCCUAUUAAUACUCCUCCUACUACUAACACUACUCCUAAUACUCCUCCUACUACUUCUUCUCCUAAUACUCCUCCUACUACUAACACUACUCCUAAUACUCCUCCUACUACUUCUUCUCCUAAUACUCCUCCUACUCCACCUCCUACUACUAACACUACUCCUAAUACUCCUCCUUCUGCUACUACUCCUAUUAUUACUACUACUAUUACUACUUCUGCUACUACUUCUAUUAUUAUUAUUAUUAUUAUUAUUAUUAUUAUUAUUAAUACUACUAUUACUACAGGUGCAUGUCAAAAAAUUAUAUUGUUAAAGUUCAUUUUGUUCUGAAAUGUAAUUGAAAAAGUGGAACUUUCGUAUUUUCUAUAUUCAUUUGGAAAUCAAGGUUCCAGAGUCUGGAGGACGAGCGGAGAGGAACAGAAUCCAAGUUGCUUGAAGUCCAGUGUGAAGUUUCCACAGUCCGUGAUGAUUUGGGGUGUCGUGUCAUCUGCUGGUGUCGGUCCAGUGUGUUUUCUCAAGUCGAGAGUCGAUGCAGCGUCUACCAGGAGAUCUGAGAUACUUCAUGCUUCCAUCCGCUGACGAGCUUCGUGGAGAUGCCGAUUUCCUUUUCCAGCAGGACUCGGCACCUGCCCACAGUGCCGAAACUUCUAGUAACCGGUUUACUGAUCGUGGUGUUACUGUGGUUGACUGUCCAGCUGACUCGCCUGACCCGAACCCCAGAAAAUCUACGAGAGACACCAGACCCGACGAUACAGACGAGCUGAAGACCGCUCUCAAAGCGACCUGGACUUCAGAACACCUCAGCAGUGCCUCAGGCCGAUCGCCUCCAUGCCACGCCGCACCGACGCGGUCAUUCCUGCAGGAGGAUUAAAACCCCGCCCGAGUAUCAGCGCAUAAAUCACCAUCCUGUUCACAAGGUGGGAGAUGAUUCCUACACCGCUUUAAACCCGUCCCUGAUUCUGGUAAAAUUCUGACUUGCUAAACACACGUCUCCGUCUGUACUUCCUGCUCAGACUUGGUGACUCUGAUCCCCGCACCUCCGCUUUCAGGUAAACUCUGAGUCAUCCUCCUCUGACUCUAAUCCUGUUUUGUUUGUGUGGAGUCGUUUCGGGCCACGCCCGACUUUCCAUGCAAAUGAGCAUGAACGCAGCAGUUGAGCAAUUCACAUCUUGUACCUUAAAACAAAGGUAAAGAGAGAGAGCGAUAUUUAAACUCAGAUUCUCUCCGUUCUACACAAAUUAUACCUCCAAUAUGCAGUUCAAGAUCUUAAGGACCGUCUCGAGUGAUUCCUCGGGGCGUGGCCCGACGUUUCUUCGGUUCCCCUCUCGCGAAUUUAGUUCUGACCUGCUAUUAGUUUGAUGCACAAGAGUAGAAGAAAAGCUCGUAAACGUGGUCUCAUCUCGUCCCGUCAUUCUCGUUAAAGGCGUAGGAAGAAGCGGCAGAGACGGUCUAUUCUUCUCGUACGUAGCCGGACGUGUAACUCAAACAACCGCCGAUUUCUGCGCCAUUUAAUUUGAACUCAUAGCUUUGUUAUAGCGCCCCCUUGUGGAGAGUCUUAAAUCCGGUUCAAAAGCAAGUUUCUGUCCUCUGCAUGGAAAAAUAUCCAUUUGAGCACCCCUCAAAAGUAUUUGAAAAGAGAAAUUAUUUUAACACGAUCAAGAAGUCAUAGCGCAGUUAAGGCAUUAAAGCCGUGUUCCCAUUAGUGUAGGAUUUAUGAUCCCCAAAUACAGAUGGUUAAUUGAAUUAUUAUUAUAUCAAACUGUUUAUGUCCAUCUUAUGACGAGCAUAAAAAUUUCGACCGCAAUCGGUUCAGGACGCGUUACGCAUCUAAAAAUGUCAGUUCCAAAUGAAAUGUGAUAUUGUGGUGUCUAAUUAUCGUCCUGUGACUGCAUCUUGUCACACCCUAUGUUUGACUGUAUAUUGGAGAGAAAUUGUGUGUGCGUGUAGAGUCACUAGACCUGUUCUAUGCAGCACAGGGACUGACUCUGUUAAUAUUUACGCAGGCCGUGAUGGCGAGACAUGCCAGAAAUGCCACACUCCUCUCAGCUCAGGAGUGAGUGACACAUGAUCUCCACCACACACACAAACACCGUGUUCUACAUUCACAACUGCAAAUGACACACACACGCACGUGUGCUCUCAGUAACUUAUUUUGGCGUCUAUGUGCUAAUUUAUUCCUCUGGCUUCCUGACAAGGAGAUAAUUACAGAAAAAAAAAAAGAAGAAACAGACGCUGUCACAUUAUCACGCUUUAGAGACUGAAUCAAGUUCGGAAUGAUCUUCCUGUUACUGCCUUAAUAUCACAAUUACGGGGUAAAAAUGCUUCUUACAGAUUGAUCGUAAUUGUUUGUGUCUCGUUUUGUUCCACCAGGCACAGAUAAGCAGUGAGACAAACCAGCGGGUCGCGUUUAAAGAAAACGUGUUAAUUUCAUCAAGUUGAUGAAUUCGAGUUAGAGUGGGGUUAAGAUUAGGGUUAGCCUACACCAAUGAUGAUAUGCUGUACAUAACCCAGUGCACAAGUCACACGGUGAACAUUUCCAAUCAGAUGUUGCCUUUAUUAAACAUCUUCAUUUCACCCUUCAUUCAUUAAUCACUCUGAAUAUAAACAGACCCUGACACCUUGCUACAUUUGCUUUAUUCUCAGCUAUGUUUGUUGAUUAGACUGGACUAAGGGGAAGUCGCUGAGGAUGCACAAACUGAGUAUUGGACCAGCGUGGACAUCAGG
Ictalurus punctatus (channel catfish) is the source of this 3608-nucleotide long non-coding RNA. RefSeq lists it as uncharacterized. The transcript is spliced from 2 exons. The record is from RefSeq and is a predicted model, not a curated record. Lineage: Eukaryota; Metazoa; Chordata; Actinopteri; Siluriformes; Ictaluridae.